RNAcentral lists this ribosomal RNA (579 nucleotides) under Colletotrichum siamense. RNAcentral's name for it is "eukaryotic LSU rRNA". The stretch from base 216 to 369 matches the Rfam family "5.8S ribosomal RNA". The record is from RNAcentral. Lineage: Eukaryota; Fungi; Ascomycota; Sordariomycetes; Glomerellales; Glomerellaceae.
UCGUAACAAGGUCUCCGUUGGUGAACCAGCGGAGGGAUCAUUACUGAGUUUACGCUCUAUAACCCUUUGUGAACAUACCUAUAACUGUUGCUUCGGCGGGUAGGGUCUCCGUGACCCUCCCGGCCUCCCGCCCCCGGGCGGGUCGGCGCCCGCCGGAGGAUAACCAAACUCUGAUUUAACGACGUUUCUUCUGAGUGGUACAAGCAAAUAAUCAAAACUUUUAACAACGGAUCUCUUGGUUCUGGCAUCGAUGAAGAACGCAGCGAAAUGCGAUAAGUAAUGUGAAUUGCAGAAUUCAGUGAAUCAUCGAAUCUUUGAACGCACAUUGCGCCCGCCAGCAUUCUGGCGGGCAUGCCUGUUCGAGCGUCAUUUCAACCCUCAAGCUCUGCUUGGUGUUGGGGCCCUACAGCUGAUGUAGGCCCUCAAAGGUAGUGGCGGACCCUCCCGGAGCCUCCUUUGCGUAGUAACUUUACGUCUCGCACUGGGAUCCGGAGGGACUCUUGCCGUAAAACCCCCAAUUCUCCAAAGGUUGACCUCGGAUCAGGUAGGAAUACCCGCUGAACUUAAGCAUAUCAAUAA